RNAcentral lists this ribosomal RNA (828 nucleotides) under uncultured Wolbachia sp. RNAcentral's name for it is "bacterial SSU rRNA". It matches the Rfam family "Bacterial small subunit ribosomal RNA", at positions 94 to 960 of the family's 1533-position model. The record is from RNAcentral. Lineage: Bacteria; Pseudomonadati; Pseudomonadota; Alphaproteobacteria; Rickettsiales; Anaplasmataceae.
AGUGGCAGACGGGUGAGUAAUGUAUAGGAAUCUACCUAGUAGUACGGAAUAAUUGUUGGAAACGGCAACUAAUACCGUAUACGCCCUACGGGGGAAAAAUUUAUUGCUAUUAGAUGAGCCUAUAUUAGAUUAGUUAGUUGGUGAGGUAAAGGCUUACCAAGACAAUGAUCUAUAGCUGAUCUGAGAGGAUGAUCAGCCACACUGGAACUGAGAUACGGUCCAGACUCCUACGGGAGGCAGCAGUGGGGAAUAUUGGACAAUGGGCGAAAGCCUGAUCCAGCCAUGCCGCAUGAGUGAAGAAGGCCUUCGGGUUGUAAAGCUCUUUUAGUGAGGAAGAUAAUGACGGUACUCACAGAAGAAGUCCUGGCUAACUCCGUGCCAGCAGCCGCGGUAAUACGGAGAGGGCUAGCGUUAUUCGGAAUCAUUGGGCGUAAAGGGCGCGUAGGCGGGUUAGUAAGUUAAAAGUGAAAUCCCAAGGCUCAACCUUGGAACUGCUUUUAAAACUGCUAGUCUAGAGAUUGAAAGAGGAUAGAGGAAUUCCUAGUGUAGAGAUGAAAUUCGUAAAUAUUAGGAGGAACACCAGUGGCGAANGCGUCUAUCUGGUUCAAAUCUGACGCUGAGGCGCGAAGGCGUGGGGAGCAAACAGGAUUAGAUACCCUGGUAGUCCACGCUGUAAACGAUGAAUGUUAAAUAUGGGAAGUUUACUUUCUGUAUUAUAGCUAACGCGUUAAACAUUCCGCCUGGGGACUACGGUCGCAAGAUUAAAACUCAAAGGAAUUGACGGGGACCCGCACAAGCGGUGGANCAUGUGGUUUAAUUCGAUGCAAC